RNAcentral lists this long non-coding RNA (493 nucleotides) under Sinocyclocheilus grahami. Its description in RNAcentral is "lncRNA (ENSSGRG00000005740.1)". Lineage: Eukaryota; Metazoa; Chordata; Actinopteri; Cypriniformes; Cyprinidae. The record is from RNAcentral.
GUGUGUGUGUCUGUGUGUGUGUGUGUGUGUGUCUGUGUGUGUGUGUGUGUAGCCGUCACUACGCCGUGUGUUCCUCCCUGUCAGCAUGGUGGCGUCUGCGGGCCUCUGAACACCUGUGUGUGUGUGACGGGGACGAGCGGCAUACGCUGUGAGAAACUCGUGUGUCCCGUCGUGACUACGGUGGUCAGUAUGGCCCGCGCCGUGCGGAAAGGCUUUCGGGAGAGUUACGUGGACCGCUGCGGACCGCUGGGAGUCCAGCUCUGUACUAAAUACAGGAUAAAUCAGGCGCGUGUGUAUCUGCAGGCAUAUAGAGUGGGCUACAAAAUCCAGUGCCCUGAGAAAACAGCAAGAUGAACAACAUCAAGUCUAUUGUAAUGCUCCCAAACACUGAACAGACACACUCACUCAGUGCAUAUUAUAUGAUUGUGUAUACUGGCUUUUGCACAUUGUGCAAGUGUAUUGUUACGGACUAAUAAAGGUAUUUUUGGUGACU